GACGAACGCUGGCGGCGUGCUUAACACAUGCAAGUCGAACGGAAAGGCCCUGCUUUUGUGGGGUGCUCGAGUGGCGAACGGGUGAGUAACACGUGAGUAACCUGCCCUUGACUUUGGGAUAACUUCAGGAAACUGGGGCUAAUACCGGAUAGGAGCUCCUGCUGCAUGGUGGGGGUUGGAAAGUUUCGGCGGUUGGGGAUGGACUCGCGGCUUAUCGGCUUGUUGGUGGGGUAGUGGCUUACCAAGGCUUUGACGGGUAGCCGGCCUGAGAGGGUGACCGGCCACAUUGGGACUGCGAUACGGCCCAGACUCCUACGGGCGGCAGCAGUGGGGAAUAUUGCACAAUGGGCGGAAGCCUGAUGCAGCAACGCCGCGUGCGGGAUGACGGCCUUCGGGUUGUAAACCGCUUUCGCCUGUAACGAAGCGUGAGUGACGGUAAUGGGUAAAGAAGCACCGGCUAACUACGUG
This 468-nucleotide ribosomal RNA is filed under the name uncultured bacterium. RNAcentral describes it as "partial 16S ribosomal RNA". It matches the Rfam family "Bacterial small subunit ribosomal RNA", at positions 28 to 507 of the family's 1533-position model. The record is from RNAcentral.